RNAcentral lists this ribosomal RNA (237 nucleotides) under uncultured bacterium. RNAcentral's name for it is "partial 16S ribosomal RNA". It matches the Rfam family "Bacterial small subunit ribosomal RNA", at positions 524 to 759 of the family's 1533-position model. The record is from RNAcentral.
UACGUAGGUGGCAAGCGUUGUCCGGAUUUACUGGGCGUAAAGCGCGCGCAGGCGGUUUGGAAAGUCUGUGGUGAAAUCUCUCGGGCUCAACCGAGAGGGGUCUGCAGAUACUCCCAGACUUGAGUGCCGUAGACGAAGAUGGAAUUCCGGGUGUAGUGGUGAAAUGCGUAGAUAUCCGGAGGAACACCAGUGGCGAAGGCGGUCUUCGAGGCGGUAACUGACGCUGAGGCGCGAAAG